This 507-nucleotide ribosomal RNA is filed under the name Oodescelis punctatissima. RNAcentral describes it as "partial 16S ribosomal RNA". It matches the Rfam family "Bacterial large subunit ribosomal RNA", at positions 1811 to 2590 of the family's 2925-position model. The record is from RNAcentral. Lineage: Eukaryota; Metazoa; Arthropoda; Insecta; Coleoptera; Tenebrionidae.
AAAAACAUGUCUUUUUGAUUAUAAUUUAAGGUCUGACCUGCCCAAUGAUUGUUUUAAAUGGCUGCAGUAUUUUGACUGUACAAAGGUAGCAUAAUCAUUAGUUUCUUAAUUAGGAGCUGGUAUGAACGGUUUGAUGAAAAAUUAACUGUCUCUGUUCAAUUGAAUUAGAAUUUUAUUUUUAAGUGAAAAAGCUUAAAUUUUUUAUAAAGACGAGAAGACCCUAUAGAGUUUUAUAUUUUUAUAAUUUUUAAUUUUAUGUUUUUAUUUUUAAUUAUUAUUGAAAAUAUUUUGUUGGGGUGACAGAAAAAUUUAAUUAACUUUUUUUUAAUUUUUACACUAAUUGGUGAAUUUAUGAUCCUUUAUUAGAUUAUAAGAUUAAAUUACCUUAGGGAUAACAGCGUAAUUUUUUUUGAAAGUUCUUAUUGAUAAAAAAGUUUGCGACCUCGAUGUUGGAUUAAAAUUUGUUUUUGGUGUAGAAGCUUUAAAACUAGGUCUGUUCGACCUUUA